RNAcentral lists this ribosomal RNA (253 nucleotides) under uncultured bacterium. RNAcentral describes it as "partial 16S ribosomal RNA". It matches the Rfam family "Bacterial small subunit ribosomal RNA", at positions 524 to 776 of the family's 1533-position model. The record is from RNAcentral.
UACGUAGGGCGCAAGCGUUGUCUGGAAUUAUUGGGCGUAAAGAGCUCGUAGGUGGCUUGUCGCGUCUGCCGUGAAAACCCGAGGCUCAACCUCGGGCGUGCGGUGGGUACGGGCAGGCUAGAGUGUGGUAGGGGAGACUGGAACUCCUGGUGUAGCGGUGAAAUGCGCAGAUAUCAGGAAGAACACCGAUGGCGAAGGCAGGUCUCUGGGCCAUUACUGACACUGAGGAGCGAAAGCAUGGGUAGCGAACAGG